Molecule: ribosomal RNA, 399 nt
Filed under: bacterium enrichment culture clone ALO1_GLFRUDD03HKJA4
Lineage: Bacteria
Description: bacterial SSU rRNA
Rfam family: Bacterial small subunit ribosomal RNA
Source: RNAcentral
GAGUUUGAUCCUGGCUCAGAUUGAACGCUGGCGGCAUGCCUUACACAUGCAAGUCGAACGGCAGCACGGGAGCUUGCUCCUGGUGGCGAGUGGCGAACGGGUGAGUAAUGCAUCGGAACGUAUCCUGGAGUGGGGGAUAACGUAGCGAAAGUUACGCUAAUACCGCAUAUUCUGUGAGCAGGAAAGCGGGGGACCUUCGGGCCUCGCGCUCUUGGAGCGGCCGAUGUCGGAUUAGCUAGUUGGUGAGGUAAAGGCUCACCAAGGCGACGAUCCGUAGCAGGUCUGAGAGGAUGAUCUGCACACUGGAACUGAGACACGGUCCAGACUCCUACGGGAGGCAGCAGUGGGAAUUUGGACAAUGGGGGCAAACCCUGAUCCAGCCAUGCCGCGUGAGUGAAG